This 77-nucleotide transfer RNA is filed under the name Planctomycetota bacterium. RNAcentral's name for it is "Planctomycetes bacterium tRNA-Val". It matches the Rfam family "tRNA". Rfam says of the family: Transfer RNA (tRNA) molecules are approximately 80 nucleotides in length. Their secondary structure includes four short double-helical elements and three loops (D, anti-codon, and T loops). The record is from RNAcentral. Lineage: Bacteria; Pseudomonadati; Planctomycetota.
GGGCCGUUAGCUCAGUUGGUUAGAGCGCCAUCCUCACACGGUGGAAGUCACUGGUUCGAAUCCAGUACGGCCCACCA